AUUGAACGCUGGCGGCAGGCCUAACACAUGCGAGUCGAACGGUAACAGGAAGAAGCUUGCUUCUUUGCUGACGAGUGGCGGACGGGUGAGUAAUGUCUGGGAAACUGCCUGAUGGAGGGGGAUAACUACUGGAAACGGUAGCUAAUACCGCAUAAUGUCGCAAGACCAAAGAGGGGGACCUUCGGGCCUCUUGCCAUCGGAUGUGCCCAGAUGGGAUUAGCUAGUAGGUGGGGUAACGGCUCACCUAGGCGACGAUCCCUAGCUGGUCUGAGAGGAUGACCAGCCACACUGGAACUGAGACACGGUCCAGACUCCUACGGGAGGCAGCAGUGGGGAAUAUUGCACAAUGGGCGCAAGCCUGAUGCAGCUAUGCCGCGUGUAUGAAGAAGGCCUUCGGGUUGUAAAGUACUUUCAGCGGGGAGGAAGGGAGUAAAGUUAAUACCUGUGCUCAUUGACGUUACCCGCAGAAGAAGCACCGGCUAACUCCGU
Molecule: ribosomal RNA, 489 nt
Filed under: uncultured bacterium
Lineage: Bacteria
Description: partial 16S ribosomal RNA
Rfam family: Bacterial small subunit ribosomal RNA
Source: RNAcentral